UACGGGGGGAGCAAGCGUUGUUCGGAUUUACUGGGCGUAAAGGGCGCGUAGGCGGCGUGACAAGUCACUUGUGAAAUCUCCGGGCUUAACUCGGAGCGGUCAAGUGAUACUGUCGUGCUAGAGUGCGGAAGGGGCUACUGGAAUUCUCGGUGUAGCGGUGAAAUGCGUAGAUAUCGGGAGGAACACCUGUGGCGAAAGCGGCGCACUGGACCACAACUGACGCUGAGGCGCGAAAGCUAGGGGAGCAAACAGG
RNAcentral lists this ribosomal RNA (253 nucleotides) under uncultured bacterium. RNAcentral describes it as "partial 16S ribosomal RNA". It matches the Rfam family "Bacterial small subunit ribosomal RNA", at positions 524 to 776 of the family's 1533-position model. The record is from RNAcentral.